Molecule: non-coding RNA, 100 nt
Organism: Desarmillaria tabescens
Lineage: Eukaryota; Fungi; Basidiomycota; Agaricomycetes; Agaricales; Physalacriaceae
Source: the annotation of a RefSeq genome assembly
GCAUCAAUGGAGUAGUGGCAACUUGGGUCAUUGCCAUCUUGCACUAGGUAGUAUACGUAGGUCCUACUGACCCGCCAGGGGUUCGAUUCCCAUUGAUGCA